UAUCAAUAAGCGGAGGAAAAGAAACCAACAGGGAUUGCCCCAGUAACGGCGAGUGAAGCGGCAACAGCUCAAAUUUGAAAUCUGGCCCCCCUCCGGGGGCCCGAGUUGUAAUUUGUAGAGGAUGCUUUUGGUGCGGCGCCAGCUGAGUUCCCUGGAACGGGACGCCACAGAGGGUGAGAGCCCCGUCACGCUGGACGCCAAGCCUAUGUAAAGCUCCUUCGACGAGUCGAGUAGUUUGGGAAUGCUGCUCAAAUUGGGAGGUAUAUGUCUUCUAAAGCUAAAUACCGGCCAGAGACCGAUAGCGCACAAGUAGAGUGAUCGAAAGAUGAAAAGCACUUUGAAAAGAGAGUUAAACAGUACGUGAAAUUGUUGAAAGGGAAGCGCUCAUGACCAGACUUGGGCUUGGCGAAUCACCCGGCGUUCUCGCCGGUGCACUUCGCCUCGCCCAGGCCAGCAUCAGUUCGUCGCGGGGGACAAAAGCGCCGGGAACGUGGCUCCCCCGGGAGUGUUAUAGCCCGGCGCACAAUACCCUGCGGUGGACUGAGGUUCGCGCAUCUGCAAGGAUGCUGGCGUAAUGGUCAUCAGCGACCCGUCUUGAAACACGGACCAAGGAGUCGUCUUCGUAUGCGAGUGUUCGGGUGUCAAACCCCUACGCGUAAUGAAAGUGAACGCAGGUGAGAGCUUCGGCGCAUCAUCGACCGAUCCUGAUGUUCUCGGAUGGAUUUGAGUAAGAGCAUACGGGGCCGGACCCGAAAGAAGGUGAACUAUGCCUGUAUAGGGUGAAGCCAGAGGAAACUCUGGUGGAGGCUCGCAGCGGUUCUGACGUGCAAAUCGAUCGUCAAAUAUGGGCAUGGGGGCGAAAGACUAAUCGAACCUUCUAGUAGCUGGUUUC
RNAcentral lists this ribosomal RNA (892 nucleotides) under Hypomyces polyporinus. Its description in RNAcentral is "LSU rRNA". It matches the Rfam family "Eukaryotic large subunit ribosomal RNA", at positions 41 to 958 of the family's 3401-position model. The record is from RNAcentral. Lineage: Eukaryota; Fungi; Ascomycota; Sordariomycetes; Hypocreales; Hypocreaceae.